UGGGAAUUACCCCAUGGGCAUCUGAGUA
Molecule: non-coding RNA, 28 nt
Filed under: Rattus norvegicus (Norway rat)
Lineage: Eukaryota; Metazoa; Chordata; Mammalia; Rodentia; Muridae
Source: RNAcentral